This 1242-nucleotide ribosomal RNA is filed under the name metagenome. Its description in RNAcentral is "bacterial LSU rRNA". It matches the Rfam family "Bacterial large subunit ribosomal RNA", at positions 1564 to 2816 of the family's 2925-position model. The record is from RNAcentral.
UGAAUACGAGACGCUAAGGCGUCGAAGUAGUGUAUGUCAUACUUCCAAGAAAAGCUUGCACUGUCAUAGAUAAAAAACGCCUGUACCAUAACCGACACAGGUGGGUAGGUAGAGUAUACUAAGGGGCGCGAGAUAACUCUCUCUAAGGAACUCGGCAAAAUAACUCCGUAACUUCGGGAGAAGGAGUGCCUUAUUCGUAAGGUUGCAAUAACAAGAUCCAAGCAACUGUUUAUCAAAAACACAGGUCUCCGCUAAGUCGUAAGACGAUGUAUGGGGGCUGACGCCUGCCCAGUGCCAGAAGGUUAAAGAAGUUGGUUAGCAAUUGCGAAGCUGAUAACUGAAGCCCUGGUGAACGGCGGCCGUAACAAUAACGGUCCUAAGGUAGCGAAAUUCCUUGUCGGGUAAGUUCCGACCCGCACGAAAGGCGUAAUGAUUUGGAUACUGUCUCGGAGAGGGGCUCGGUGAAAUAGACUUGUCUGUGAAGAUGCGGACUACCUGCACCAGGACAGAAAGACCCUAUGAAGCUUUACUGUAACUUGAAAUUGAAAUUGGACUUUAUUCGCGCAGUAUAGGUGGGAGGCGUUGAUUAUAAUCUUGUGGGAUUAUUGGAGCCAUCAGUGAGAUACCACUCUUGUAAUGUUAGAUUUCUAACUUUGAAUCAUUAUCUGGUCAAAGAACAGUUUCAGGCGGGCAGUUUGACUGGGGCGGUCGCCUCCUAAACGGUAACGGAGGCGUUCAAAGGUUUCCUCUGAACGGUUAGAAAUCGUAUCUAGAGUGUAAAGGCAUAAGGAAGCUUGACUGUGAGACCUACAAGUCGAGCAGGGACGAAAGUCGGUCUUAGUGAUCUGACGGUACUGAGUGGAAAGGCCGUCACUCAACGGAUAAAAGUUACUCUAGGAUAACAGGCUGAUCUCCCCCAAGAGUUCACAUCGACGGGGAGGUUUGGCACCUCGAUGUCGGCUCAUCGCAUCCUGGGGCGGUAGUACGUCCCAAGGGUUGGGCUGUUCGCCCAUGAAAGCGGUACGCGAGCUGGGUUCAGAACGUCGUGAGACAGUUCGGUCCAUAUCCGGUGUAGGCGUUAGAAUAUUGAGAGGAGCCUUCCUUAGUACGAGAGGACCGAGAAGGACAUACCUCUGGUGUACCAGUUAUCGUGCCAACGGUAAACGCUGGGUAGCUAUGUAUGGAGUGGAUAACCGCUGAAAGCAUCUAAGUGGGAAGCCCACCUCAAGAUAAGUAUUCUCA